RNAcentral lists this unclassified non-coding RNA (348 nucleotides) under soil metagenome. RNAcentral describes it as "partial contains 5.8S ribosomal RNA, internal transcribed spacer 2, and large subunit ribosomal RNA". The stretch from base 1 to 120 matches the Rfam family "5.8S ribosomal RNA", at positions 35 to 154 of the family's 154-position model. The record is from RNAcentral.
GAUGAAGAACGUAGCGAAAUGCGAUAAGUAGUGUGAAUUGCAGAAUUCAGUGAAUCAUCGAGUCUUUGAACGCACAUUGCGCCCCCUGGUAUUCCGGGGGGCAUGCCUGUCCGAGCGUCAUUGCCGCCCUCAAGCACGGCUUGUGUGUUGGGCCCCCGCCCCCCGGCUUCGGGGGGCGGGCCCGAAAGGCAGCGGCGGCACCGCGUCCGGUCCUCGAGCGUAUGGGGCUUCGUCACCCGCUCUGUAGGCCCGGCCGGCGCCCGCCGGCGACCCCAAUCAAUCUUUCCAGGUUGACCUCGGAUCAGGUAGGGAUACCCGCUGAACUUAAGCAUAUCAAUAAGCGGAGGA